UGAAUUUUUUUUAAAAUAAAUAUAUAACCAAAACUGGUUUCAAAUUUAUUUGUUUAAAAUGUAAAAAAAAAUAUUUCCCCAAAUCAAUCCAGUAACUAUAACCUCAAGAAACACCUAAUAAAGACUGUUCAUGGUUUUAAGGAAAUGGAGAAACAUCUAAAUAAUUUUGGUAUAGGCCACUCUACAUCCAAAAAAACUAAUUCAAUUCAAACCAAAUUAAUUAAUAAUGCAAAUGACAAUAUUUCUCAGAAAUUGGCUGAUAAAGUUAUUGUUGAUUUUAUAAUUUAUACAGUUCAACCAAUGUCCUUAGUUGAUAAUCCAUCAUUUACCAUGAUGAUUAAAACUCUAUCCCCCUGGUAUAACAAUUUAAUGGCGCCAGACACUAAUGAAUAAAAUAACAUAACUUUAAAAUGAUGAAAGAUGAUCUAAUAGUAGAGUUAUCAGAGAUAUCAUAUAUAUGUACCACGGGAGAUAGUUGAACACAUAACAGAAGCUUAUUUGGGAAUCACAGGCCAUUGACUAGACUCUACAACCUUAAAAAGAAGAUCUGUGGCAUUAGCCCUCAAAUGAUAAUAGGAUGCCAGACAUACGAUCGAAUAACGCCGUUACUUUCAGAACUCUAUUUUACCUUAUGAAAAUUAAAAACCAAAUCAAAAUUAGCAAAAAACGCAUUCCCCUGAAAAUUUUAAUUUCAUUCCUUUCAUGACACUGCUCAGCUACGCC
This is a long non-coding RNA of Gordionus sp. m RMFG-2023, 723 nucleotides long. RefSeq lists it as uncharacterized. Lineage: Eukaryota; Metazoa; Nematomorpha; Gordioida; Chordodea; Parachordodidae. The record is from RefSeq and is a predicted model, not a curated record. The transcript is spliced from 4 exons.